CCUAGGAGGCAGGCAAUUCCGUGCUGCCGUGAGGCGUGGAAAGCCCUGUGUGCCUGGUUGCAGCUUUGUCUCAGUGCUGCCAUGAAGGUUUUUACCUCAUCUGGAUUGUAGGUUUCCCGGAGACUUGGAUACAUUUGUGCAUGAAGGACAUCCAUCUCAACAAAAUCUGUUAUUGCUGCAUACAGGAAGGAGGACCUGUUGUUUCCAUGUGCAUUUCUUUCCCUUUCUCUUUUAUAUCUUAUUGCUCUCUCAGACAAACCCCAGAUGGUCACUUUUGCGCUGAUCUCGCCAAAGUCUUCUGAGCUGUUUUUGGAAAGCAACAGGAAAACCUUAAAAUAUUUUUCUCACCUUGAGGUCGGUAUGCUUCUAACAUAUGGAUUGGGACUGAAUGUUUUCAAACACAGGCUAAAUAGAUCCUUUAUUUCUACUGAACCAUUAGAAAUAAUCUUAAAGACCUGCUUGGAGUGUAUUUUGUACAUGAGUUAAAAUAAUUUGUAAAUAGUUUUUCAAAACAUGAUGCUUAUGAUGUUUUAGGUGUGAGAAAUAUCUGUUACUAUUUGAUCUUUCCCCUUAGUAAUGGGAAGUAUUCAUCUCUAUAUAAAAAACUGAUAUUGAUAUCAAUAUGUAUAUAAAUUUCAUACACUUCUCCCAAUUUGUUCCUCUUACUUGCAUAACACUACUUUUACAUUAUGCUCUUGUGUGUUACAGUAAUCUCUCCCACCUUGGGAGUAAAAAAAAAAAAUCACCUGUACAUCUGUCCCCACUCUCAUAAUAAUAAAACUUUUAUGCUCCAGUGAAUAUUUUAUCUCCAAGCACUGACACCAAAGUCCUCCGAUGGGGCUGCACAGAGAGUUUAAAAGUAGGAUGCCCUGUGGCAGUUAAUCAUAGCUAAUGCAGAGCUCAGGAGGAAGGGGAAAUGAUUUUAUGACUGUAAAUGGAAAAAGGACAAAUAAACAGGGCUGGGAAGAGGAGCUGCCGUGGGCAGGGGAGCCUCAGGCUUUUGGUGUGGUUGCAGGAAAUGGGCUCUUUGCAUCAGGAGGGGCGCCCACAAAUGCACUCAGGGCUUUCACAGAUGUAUUUAGGUCACUGACACUUUGAAAGCUUUAUACUUUUUCAGUCUAGGGGCUGUGACAAAGGCCUGUAAACUCAGAGUGAAGGCUAGCAUCCAUCCGUGGCUGGCCUUAUUGUAUCCCCAGGAAUUUCGGAUCAAUGAAGGAUGUUAGCAAUUAUGUGCUGAAAUAACUAAGUACAAUGGGAUGAGGUAAGGAAAGCGACUCAGCCUUGAAUUUGAAUUUCUUUUGGUUUCUGUCAGUUUGUGCCAACACCCCUUGCAAUGCGUAGUGUGUCUCUGGGGCUGCCCUAUAUUGUUCAGUACAGGAAAUUUGAGAGACACAAGUUCAGCAGCAAACGUCAAAAGUUGCAUGUGUGGAUGCAAUCUUUUCCCUGGUGUAUGGGGCAGUUUUGCUGCUGGGCUUCUGAAGGUAUUUUGUGGAUGAGAUGCUGGUUUCUCUCUUUCGGCACAAAAUCUUUUGUAGCAGGUGUUGUUCUGGUUUUUAAGGCUGAGAAGAAGUAGCCGUGAUGUCACUUGACUUCCUGCAAAGCUCCAACCCCCAGCGUGCUGUGAAGAAAGUCCCGUGUGCCGCCUCGUGCUCCGCUUGUUCCCUGUGGUUCUUUCCGCUUGUAAUUCCCAAAGGGCCAAACCCAGGGUUGUAUGCCUGACCCCUGUAUCCAGGCCACUGGGCAGACUGAAGCAAGGAGGAGGAAUUCCUUUGAAGUUGUGGAGCUGCUCCCCAGUAGCUGACUUGGGCCCAGUGGUGGGUGCAGUGUCCCAUGGUCCUCACGCUGUCUCCCUGAAAGGGAUCUGAUUCCCGCUGCUCCCUGCAGCUCAACCAUAUCAGUUCCACUGCAGUGCAGCCUUCUCCCAUUGCUGAGUAGUGGGCUGAGCCUGGCUCUGAGCUACCUCAGGAUGACAGACGCUCACAGAAAACCCCAUAAAAAACUUCCUUUCUUAAACGCCAAAACACAUGCUAGGAGAGCCCAGAGUCUGUGACUUCCAGUUAGGGCAGUUAAUCAAAACAUUUGCCAUGUAUUGUGUGAGCUCCUUCACAGUUUGUGCAUUUAUCUUUUAAACAUCUGCGGAACAGCAUGGCUUAGAUAGGUUUCUGUUACUACUCUGAGCCUUCAUUGGCUUUCAAGAAUGAGUGAAGAGGAGCCAGACAACAUAAAGGGCAGGCAAUCAAAGCUUUUGACUCUUAGAUCCUUGCAGAUGGGCCUCCUGAUGAAAUGACUAACAACUGUUGCCAGAUCAGCAAGUAGCAACCACAAGGCACCUGUAUUUAUUUAACUUUCAUUUUACCAGAUAACUUGUCUUUAUGCUUUGGAGUUUUAACUAUGGAUUAUAAGUCACGAGGCUUCCUUCAGAUCUCCCUAGCACAAGUGUAAAAUGAGUCACUUGAGAUUGGUUGGUGAUAAGAGUUCUUCUACUGUACAAGCAGUAGAUGCAAAGUCAGGAUCAGGCCAAGGUGGAGAUCAUGGGUCCAGUGUCUAGUUUGUUUGAAACAUCUUUAUUGCCCACCUCUGGGGUGAAGUCUUCAAUGGGCAUGCACUAAAGGGAGGGAAGGUUUCUAGCAGCAGCCUUUGGUUAUCGUUAAAAUAAAUAAAUAAAUAAAAAUCAGUGACCUCAUUUUUCUUUUCUGAAUGGCUCUGCAUCUUGGGAAUUCCACUGUGCUAAAGGAGACUAUCUGCAUCCAGGGCCCCCAGCUCCUUCAGUUCUGCCUGGGUGAGACUCAAGGUGAGGGGCAGCCAGCUUCCCUGACCUUGCAAGCUGCCUGCCAAACCCAAGAUGUUGCCAGAUCCCUCAGGCUACAAACCUUGCACCUCAGAGUACCAGUUCUAGGAAUGACUCGCAGGUGGUGUUGCCAGCAGCUCCACAGGAGCUUUGUUGCUCCUGCCAUUAUGGAAAGGAACAAAGCUGAGUAUGUGGCUGUGCCCCAGGAUGACCCAGUGGUGUUGGCUUCAGUGGCUCCUGCUGUCUUGCAGCCUUUCACAGGCACUGACUCUGAUUGCCCGGUCACCCCAGUGCCAAUCCAACCCUGCUGCCAGACACCUCGGUGUAGCCCUGGCACGUGAAGUCUACUGCUUGCUCACAAGCAGUAUGAGGUUUGCCUGUUCCCCUGCUUUCCCUGAAGGCAAAUGUCAAGAAUAUGCCAUGCUGAAUGUUGGAUAUAUAUUAGAUAUUCUAUCUGGACAGGUUAGAACACGCUUUGUGGCUCUGAUUGCUACUGGUUUUGGGUGCUGUGAAGGGACCCAUGGUGGGUGUUCGGCUGUUCCUGGAAAGCAGUCAGCUCCUCUGUUCCUGGAGUCGGAUAUCUGAACAACGGCAAAUGCCAAAUCCGUAAUUAUUUCUGUAUGUACCACUCUCCAGUUUUAUAGCUGAUGCUUUACCUGUGUGCUUUUGGUCACUAGUGGCUUUUGUUCAGCAAAUAACAUCCUGGUCAUAUGUGUGAUACGGCCUGUUGACAUAGGAUAAAGUCACAAAGUGAACGUGCUCAAGUGUUAAGAAGCAAUGUUGCAGCAGUACUAUGAGACUUGGCCCAUGGGUUUUAGCAAUCCCUGCAGCUGUGUCUGUAUUUAGGGAUAUGCUUUGGUGUCUAAAUGAGCACAUGUAUUCUCCUUCUGAUAGUGGAAACUAGUUAGAACAUUGAGUUCUGCCAAAUUCAAUCAUAUGUGUUGUUUUUUUUUUAAUGUCUACAACAAGAUCUGAUAGUUUAAAAAGCUUUCAACGUGCCUCUUGCUGGGGAUGGUUUUCUUUGGUCACUUCUGUCUAUCUCUCUUCUGAUUCCAAAUAUGAUGAAGAGGAAAUGUAGCUGAUUUAAGUACUUCAAGCUAGUGAAAUUAGACCAGAUUGAUUAAGAGCAUGUGUGGCAAGCAUAGCACUUGGAAGCAAACCUGCUGUUCCUCCUGAGAAAUAUUCUUACUGAGGGACUUAAAAUUCAGAUCGAUCCCAAGUUUUCAGUAUCAGGAUUAUUUUUCAGCUCUGCCUUAUUGCUAACUUUAGGCUAUAGGGUGUGAUCUGUCUUCAUGUUAAAUAAAGCUUUCUUUUGCAAGGAAUUUUGCAGAAAGAAGUGAAAUCGAGUGGAGCUGGGGGAAGCUGUGGCAUAUGGUGUGUCAUCCAAGCAAGAAUGGUCCAGUCUUCCCCCGGCUUCCCAGUUCCUGUACCUGUCAAAAGGAUUUUAUGAGAUGGAGAAUGAGUUGUGCACACAGGGAAGCAUGAGGCAGAAUGCUGGAAGAAAAGGAGGAGUAAAUAAUUGUGAGUAAAUAAAUUGUGAAAAUGGUGCCAGUUUUUCCUCGAUGGGCCUUGAUCCUCCAAUACAGCCCAACAAAGCUGGGAGUGAUACACCAAAAUAUCUUUUUAAUAAACAACGUAGGCAGUAGGAAAUAAUACUGGUCAGGGCUUGUUUUUCUGGCUCAGGGCCUCAUUCCAACCUGUUGCAACCAGCUAUUGAACGUCUUUGGGGACACCCCCACACAGGAGGCCCCACGGAGGAAAGGAACUUUUACAUUUGUGUUUGACUGGGAGCCUUGCCAGUGGCUAAGUUCAAAGUGCAGUUUCCAGUAAUUUGCUGUUACUACUCCGUGUGUUUGAUAGGCCAGGACAGAAGCAUGCAACCCGAAGUAAUAUUUCCUGAUUUCUGACAUUUCUCAAGAUAUGAAUGGAGGUUGCUGAGGCACUAAAACUUGGAAGGGUUUUCCUGACUCCAACACCUUUGAUGCUUUCCUUUUCUCCUCUCGCAUAGCCCCUUUCCCUGCCCCCAUCUCCUCCCUUAGAUCACGUUCCCUGCUGUUGUCAGUUCCGUAUUUGGAUGACAUUCAUAUUGAUUGUUUCCCUAUGCAAACACUGUGCGGCUGGUCUUAUGCAACUAGAGAAAUCCUAUUGAUUUACUGAGUGUGAGGGUUAUUUAGAUUGAUAUCCUUCUAUAGUAGGGGUAACAUUUUCGUCUCCCCUUAGAAUUAUGGUUAACCUUUCCAUUUUGGAGGGAGGGGGUGGAAAUGAAUUUCUUUUGCCCUGUUGACUGUGAUAAGAGAGAGGUAAGCACAGGGAGAAGCCAGUGGAAUAGCUACUGUUCUCUCCAAUGUAUGCAGUUGUAGGCCAUGUGUAUGCCAUUGUGGUUAUGGAAGAAGCAUCCUCUGUAAUUAAGAUUAUAUAAGCAUCCCUAUUGUAAUUCUUUGUUUUCUGCUUUCCAAAACUUGCCUCUUUUGGGCUGAUGUUUUCCUGGCUUGUUCUUUGCCAUGUCACAACUUAAUUAUUUAUUUUCCAAGCAGGGAUACAAAUGUUGGAGAGAGCUGAGGAAAUGGACCUCUCUUGCCUGCUUGAAAAAGAAAAAUCUUGACAUUUUUUAAAAUUAGAUCCAAAGACCAAAUGUUUCCUGGAUGUGACUGUCAACGAGUGGAAAAACCUUUUGGGGAACACUAAUUGCUGGAUAAUCUACAUUUGUGCAAAAAGUAAUGCCAAUGUGCUCUUUGAGGGCAGCCUGAAAUGCUUAAAAUCCUAAUUCCCCGUUUUUUACAGCUUAAAUGUGCAGACUUCCUAGGCCCACAGGGGCGUGGGUGUAUUAGUACAGUUACCUACAAAAGCAGAGCAGCAGGAAAUUUAAAGGUGCAGUAUUCAGCUCUAACUGCACCCCUUCAGCAAAGUGAAUGCCUACAGCAACAAAAGCUGAGUGCUGAAACUCUGUCCUGGUUCUGCACUGAAGCUUCACUUUUCAGCUGAAACUGUCAUCUCACUUCUAAAAUUCCUUUGGCUAGUAUGUAGCUUGAGUUUUCAAAUAAAUAAGCAAACAAAUACCUUUUCUUCCAGAGAGCACUGACAGGUGUUCACACAAUCCAAGCACUCCUGAGGUUUUAAUUAUUAAACUAAAUGGUUCCUUGAAAGCAGAGGAAUUUGGAGUUAAUUCUGAUCUUUAUACUUGUGCUGAUCACUUUGCAUCCACUCUAGUGUGUCCACUGUGGUGACAUCCAUGAGACUGCCUAAACAGCAACUGAAGGAAACACUGAGAACAUAUUUUGGAGCUGAACGUUUCUAGUACUGUAAUUGGAAUUGCAUUAUUCAUGAUUAGCGCCUUUUUUCCGAUGUUUAGUCAAGAAUUCUCAAGGGGGGGCAGUGGGAGAAAGCACUGAGUAGCAAAUAAUCACAAGAUGAUCUUCAGUGGCAGUUAAUUUGCCCACAGUGCAUCACUGGUACCAGGGUGUUUGUCAUGUGGCAGGCAGCUGUGUUCCACCGCCGGAUGCUCAGCCCUCCUCCUCUUUAACCAGCUGCAGUGCUUUGGCCUCCCUCUGUUUUGGUUUCCAGCCAGAAGGAUAUGAGUGGAGUGGAAGGGAGAAACCUGCAAACUGGUCCAUGUUUUUUUUUUUUUAUUUAAUUGUGUGCAAGAAUAAUUCACCGAUGGCUGGGCUGCACAAAUGUGUUAAACCCACAAUCUCCUGUGUGUACCAAAGCCUCUGCCUGUGUUACCUGUGCUGUGAAGUGACUGAAGAAUGUAAGGUUGCAUCAUGAGACCAAACAGCAGGUAAACAAAAGGAGCAUGCCAUGUUCAAAUGAAAUAACUCCUCGUAAACCUGGAGGAUUGCAGCGAACUUUGUUGCUGAGUGGUUUCCUGGCCAAGAGAAGCACCAAAGAUGUUACACUGAAUAACUGGAAGGGGUUACUACACUGAAACUGCAGCCUAACUGUAUUGAGGAAGAAGUAGGGCUCACCAGAUCGCACAGGAAGUUUUCAGUAUAGUCCCUCGUGCCUUCAUUGUUGAUAUGUGAAACCAGAAUAAUAUUCCAGAGGCUUUCUUUGGUUUCCAUAAUAUUUGCUUGGAUGUGAAUUGUACAGAGGGAGCUGGAUUCAAACUUUGAGAUCGUCUGUACAAAACAAGAAAUAGCGAAAGAAGGAACGUGCCCUGUUGUUCACUGUAACAAUAAACAUGGAAAAUGAUUCAAUGAUCUGUGAAGUUCAGCACAAGUCUCACUCAAACAGUGAAAUUUCUGAGGACAGAGCAACUGUCACACUAGUUUAGAUCAGAGAUUAUUGUGACCAUGUAUCCUGUCUCCUGCAGAGGCUGGUGAGAGUGGGAUUGGGAAAGAGCCUGUGCAAAGAGGUAUAUAUUUGAAAUGAUUUUUCCCUGCUGUACCUUCCGAUGAAGAGUUGUACAGCAAAUUGUAUUCUGACAUUUGCUUUCAGACCAUUGUGCUUGAGACCAGCUCCUGGAUGUAUUCAUCCUUCAUUUCUCUGAUCUCCAUUUGAACCUGUGUGUUUCCUUGCCUCAACCAGCCCCUGUGGGCACUGAGUUCCACACUGUAAUUGUUUCAUGAAAAAGCACUUCCUUUUGUUCCUAAAUUGCUGCCAGUUUAAAACAGGCUUCCCGACUUCCUUUAUUACAUACAGUAAAUAAUUCCCUUUUUUUUACCACAUCAUUCCAUUCAUUAUUUUUCAGAUGUUGAUUCUGUCCUCUCUUAGCCAGCUGGCAUGCCCUAAUUUAUUUAUUUUAUACUUGUCCAGAAGUUGUUCUUUACUUUCCACAUUGCCUUUUCCUCUAAUCUUUUCUAGUCCUUCUGUGUGCUUUGUGGGAUGCACAGUGUGGAGGUGAAUGCAGGAGUGUAAUCAAAGGGCUCUAAUGAGUAACCCCGUAGGUUGCUUGUAUGAGCAAAAUGCCUGUGGACUUGAGCCAAAGGUUGUGCUGAUUAGCCUGGGAAGACCGGUACUGUCAGGCUUUGUCUGUGUGGUGUCAGAACAAGAUAAAGCUGUACAAGCGCUCCUUGUUACAUGCUUUAAGUUCAUCAUCUCUGUUCUGAAGUUACAGCUGUGAUGCCAAAGCUCUAAAUAAACAAUACUUCAAGUUUCAGUACCUGAAAGAGUGGGUGCCAAAAGAAAAAGAUGAUACCAGCCAUGAUGGGGUGAUGAAAGUCUGUGAGGUGCUAGGGAACGAGGGGAGAAGUUUCUAAUGUGUUCAACAAAAAGUUAUUGCACCCUUCAAACCCUGCAAUCAAUAAAUGAGUGUUUUUUUAGGUUCUUUCAUGAUCCUUUAACUUAUUUGCAUAUGUGAAUUUUUGCCUGAAUGCUGAUACGCACUGCCCUUAAAAAGGGAUUUGGUAGUGGAAGGUGGGGAUGUAUGUUUGAGACUCCUCUCAAAUCUUGGCUUCACAGAGCCCUGAAAGCCCCGUGCACUUCAGUAACAGCCAUUUGCACAAGCCUUAAAACGCAGCGAAAAUUCAAAUGGUUCCUUUUGUGGCGAGGUUACAAGUCAAUAAUUUGAACUCGGAUUGUGUCCAUAUCCGGUGAAGAGCGAGGAUUACAUGCCCCCCGCCUUCCCCUCGCUGUCCUGCCUAACGAAUCCAGACCCAUUCCCCGCAGGGAGCCGAGCAGGCGAAAGGAAGGGAGUGUCGUCCUCCUGGGAGCUGUUACAGCAUCCGCUCCCCCCAGGAAAGAGGAGGGAGGAAUUCCGACAAUUCCUUGCCAAGCUAUUCCAAGGAUAGAGCACUUACACCCCACCAGCUAAUCAGGGCUGUUCCUUAAGGCUUUAUUUUAGCAUCUGGACUUCAGUAACUUUUUUAAGCCUAGUUUUGUACUGCGGAUUACUGUGAAUUUAGAUCCAAACCAUUGCUUGAGUUGCACAUCCAAAAUAAGCAUUGUUAACAAAAGCCAAGUGCCUUAUGCAUUUUAUUCAGCGCUAAGAGCAGCUUGACUGCUAAUAUUUCAUGUGCUGAAUGAAAUGGAGCUGCAGUGUUUCAAGCUAAUUCUGGAAUUUCGAAGCAUAUCCUGCAUGGCAAACUGUAAUGCCCCAUGGUUAUGCCAGUGGUGAUCAGUUUGAGGCCAGUGAGAUGUGAGUGUGGAAAGAUACAGGAUGGAGUCCUUAUAAGAAGGCAAACGUACGCUUUGCCAUGUUUGUUUAAUAUUGUCCUAUUAGUUUUUUGAAGUGCCUUUGUGUAUAAUGUCUGCCCAUGUUACCUUUUAAAAUUUUUUCCAGGUCUGCUACCAUUCAAAUAAAUCAUGUAUCCAAGCAAGAAUUUAUCCUGUCUCCUCCUAAGGCAUGUAGGCUUAAUACUUUUGCUACCUAAGUCACAGUCAUGGUGUUAGAAAGGUUUAAACAAAAUUCUGCUGUAUAUCCCAGCAGUGACUUCAGAGAAAUGUAUGGGGAAGUGGGAAG
Molecule: long non-coding RNA, 9188 nt
Organism: Pseudopipra pipra
Lineage: Eukaryota; Metazoa; Chordata; Aves; Passeriformes; Pipridae
Exons: 4
Source: RefSeq, a predicted model, not a curated record